RNAcentral lists this ribosomal RNA (179 nucleotides) under uncultured bacterium. RNAcentral's name for it is "partial 16S ribosomal RNA". It matches the Rfam family "Bacterial small subunit ribosomal RNA", at positions 1314 to 1500 of the family's 1533-position model. The record is from RNAcentral.
GACUCCGCGAAGCUGGAUUCGCUAGUAAUCGCGCAUCAGCCAUGGCGCGGUGAAUACGUUCCCGGGCCUUGUACACACCGCCCGUCAAGCCAUGAAAGCCGGGGGUGCCUGAAGUCCGUGACCGCGAGGGUCGGCCUAGGGUAAAACUGGUGAUUGGGGCUAAGUCGUAACAAGGUAUC